AGCGAACGCUGGCGGCAGGCCUAACACAUGCAAGUCGAACGGACCCUUCGGGGUUAGUGGCGGACGGGUGAGUAACACGUGGGAACGUGCCUUUAGGUUCGGAAUAGCUCCUGGAAACGGGUGGUAAUGCCGAACGUGCCCUUCGGGGGAAAGAUUUAUCGCCUUUAGAGCGGCCCGCGUCUGAUUAGCUAGUUGGUGAGGUAAAGGCUCACCAAGGCUACGAUCAGUAGCUGGUCUGAGAGGAUGGCCAGCCACAUUGGGACUGAGACACGGCCCAAACUCCUACGGGAGGCAGCAGUGGGGAAUCUUGCGCAAUGGGCGAAAGCCUGACGCAGCCAUGCCGCGUAUAUGAUGAAGGUCUUAGGAUUGUAAAAUACUUUCACCGGUGAAGAUAAUGACUGUAGCCGGAGAAGAAGCCCCGGCUAACUUCGUGCCAGCAGCCGCGGUAA
RNAcentral lists this ribosomal RNA (449 nucleotides) under uncultured bacterium. RNAcentral describes it as "partial 16S ribosomal RNA". It matches the Rfam family "Bacterial small subunit ribosomal RNA", at positions 29 to 523 of the family's 1533-position model. The record is from RNAcentral.